RNAcentral lists this ribosomal RNA (278 nucleotides) under uncultured bacterium. Its description in RNAcentral is "partial 16S ribosomal RNA". It matches the Rfam family "Bacterial small subunit ribosomal RNA", at positions 506 to 784 of the family's 1533-position model. The record is from RNAcentral.
UGCCAGCCGCCGCGGUAAUACGGAGGGGGUUAGCGUUGUUCGGAAUUACUGGGCGUAAAGCGCACGUAGGCGGACUGGAAAGUUGGGGGUGAAAUCCCAGGGCUCAACCCUGGAACUGCCUCCAAAACUAUCAGUCUAGAGUUCGAGAGAGGUGAGUGGAAUUCCGAGUGUAGAGGUGAAUGCGUAGAUAUCGGGAGGAAUACCAGUGGCGGAGGCGGCUACCUGGACUGGCACUGACGCUGAAACGCGAAAGCUAGGGGAGCAAACAGGAUUAGAUA